Molecule: small RNA, 127 nt
Filed under: Marmota monax (woodchuck)
Lineage: Eukaryota; Metazoa; Chordata; Mammalia; Rodentia; Sciuridae
Source: RNAcentral
GCUGGGCUCAGUGGCGCAUGCCUGUGAUUCUAGCUGCUUGGGAGGCCGAGAUAGGGGAAUCCCGAGUUCAAAGGCAGCCUUAGCAAUUUAGUGAGGCCCUAAGCAACUCAAUGAGACCCUGUCUCUA